RNAcentral lists this long non-coding RNA (1109 nucleotides) under Salmo trutta (river trout). RNAcentral describes it as "lncRNA (ENSSTUG00000033309.1)". Lineage: Eukaryota; Metazoa; Chordata; Actinopteri; Salmoniformes; Salmonidae. The record is from RNAcentral.
UUACUGUGUUUAAAUAUGACCAGCGACCCAUAUAGUUAUCUAUAAGAUCACUCACCCACAGUUGGCCUCUUCUUUCUCUUGAUGACACGAUCAUUGUGUCUUCAGUGGGCUGUCAAGAAGCAAUAACUUAAUAAACAAGUGUUGUGGCGCGAUAAAAACAUUAUAGGCUAGCUAAGAGAUGGAGCAGAGCCAGGAAUUGCUGCGCUUUUUUGAGAGAUCGAGGGUUUGCUGAGGAUCUCGUACAGACCUUCAUCAAUUAAAAAGAUUUACUGCAGUGCCGUCGAGGUCAUGACGGAUGCCGAACUCGCAAAAUGCGUGCCCAGAUUUACUGAUCGUAUUCCCGUAAGGCAGUACUGCAAAAGAGAAGUGGCCGCUCUCCAGGGAUCCAGUGUGUUCAAAGCUGCAGAUCGUUUUUUUAUUUUUUAUUGUUCCAUAAGCCUAAAGAAAGGUCAUAAGUAGUCAGCAAAACGUUGUGGAAACUCCAACGCUAAGAAAACAGAACGUACUUUCCAAAUUGGAUGGCUGGAACAAGUUGGAGUCGACUCAUUCUGCCAAGUUAGAGAGAAAAAAAGCUGGUGGGACAUGACAAUUAAAGGCACCAAAGACGAUUACUAUGGCAGAGCUGUUGGAGGUGCAGAUGAAGAGUGACGACUUCAUGAUAAGCCCCCAAUCACAGACCUGCGGAUGUGUUUUGGAGAUCCCCAACACCUACAUAUCAUACCUUGAUGUCAGAGGAAUUCACCUAGGUCUUGGAUUCCAAAGUGUGGGUGAUGGACAUCAUUUUCAUGUGCAGAUGUCCUUGUUUUGAGACCAAGAGUGACUUUGGAAGAAGCCCUCAAGACUGCUGAAGAACACACACAUGCUGUACACAGUGUCGUCGUUGUUGUCAGUGUCGCUUCGACAUUAGGACCUGGCCACUGUCAAGCUGGCCCUGAUGAUUGCAAACAGUGGCAAAGAGUUCCAAAAUUAAAUGAAUGUAGCAAACAUACUGUAGCCACGUUAUGCAUUUUAUAAAAGGACAGCUACUGUGAGUUGCCAUGUAUAAAAACUGCACUGUGUGCAUACUAUUCCAGCAUUGCUGAGAUGAGAAAGUCUCUCUUCAGAUUCAG